GACGAACGCUGGCGGCGUGCUUAACACAUGCAAGUCGAGCGAUGAGAUCACUUCGGUGAAGGAUUAGCGGCGAACGGGUGAGGAACACGUGAAGAAUCUGCCUUCAACUCUGGGAUAACUCCGGGAAACCGGGGCUAAUACCGGAUAUGAGCCUUGAUCGCAUGAUCGGGGCUGGAAAGUUUUUCGGUUGAAGAUGACUUCGCGGCCUAUCAGCUUGUUGGUGAGGUAAUGGCUCACCAAGGCGACGACGGGUAGCCGGCCUGAGAGGGCGACCGGCCACACUGGGACUGAGACACGGCCCAGACUCCUACGGGAGGCAGCAGUGGGGAAUAUUGGGCAAUGGACGAAAGUCUGACCCAGCGACGCCGCGUGCGGGAUGAAGGCCUUCGGGCUGUAACCGCUUUCAGCAGGGAAUAAGCGAAAGUGACGGUACCUGCAGAAGAAGCACCGGCUAACUAUGUGCCAGCAG
Molecule: ribosomal RNA, 469 nt
Filed under: uncultured bacterium
Lineage: Bacteria
Description: bacterial SSU rRNA
Rfam family: Bacterial small subunit ribosomal RNA
Source: RNAcentral